GGUCCCGUAGCUCAACGGAUAGAGCACUUGGCUUCGAACCAAGGGGUUGGAGGUUCGAGUCCUUCCGGGAUCG
RNAcentral lists this transfer RNA (73 nucleotides) under Candidatus Filomicrobium marinum. It matches the Rfam family "tRNA". From Rfam's summary of the family: Transfer RNA (tRNA) molecules are approximately 80 nucleotides in length. Their secondary structure includes four short double-helical elements and three loops (D, anti-codon, and T loops). The record is from Rfam by way of RNAcentral. Lineage: Bacteria; Pseudomonadati; Pseudomonadota; Alphaproteobacteria; Hyphomicrobiales; Hyphomicrobiaceae.